GCAUAUCAUCUAAAACCUUAACUAUAUUAUCCAAAUCACUCACUGCAAAGUAAAAUUCAAUAAGCUUAUCAUCCAAAAUCCUUUCUUUAUCAAAAUCUAGCUUCAAAAUUCUUGCCAUGAAGCUUUUUGCGAUCUAACAAUUAUAUAGAAUUCAAACCUUGUAUAUUCAAAUCCCUUUUAAAACAAUACGAAAGAAAGAGAGACAAUUUGGAAAAGAAGAAAAACAAAUGGAAACAUAAAUAUAUAAAUUAUGUAAACAAAUAAGAACUGAAAUGAUGGGUUCUUUGAGAAUAAUUAAAAGCUCAUACCACUUAAAACAAUCUUAUACAACAGAGAUUAAGAAUGAAGCUCUGAAAUCCAUUAAUGGCAGCUCUACCUCAGUACUUCCAGCUCCAGAUUUAACAUUCUCUAAUAUCCAGUGGUGAUAAUAAAUGGGAAGGGUAUGGAUCAGAUCUAGGAGAUAAAACAUCUGGCGGUUAAGCACUAGCCAUUACAACAUUUCCAAAUUUUGACACCCCGAAAAUCGCUACCAUAUACUAAUCAAAUAGAUAAUAUGAAGGCAGAACAUGAAACUUUUAAGACUCUAACUUUUUCUCAAGGAAGGAUUGUAUAGAAUUAACUAAUCUAAAGUAUAGAGAUGUAGCAUAGAGAGACAAAAUAAUAAAAAGAAAACAAGAAAGGAAGAAAAAGGCUGAGGAGAAAUCUGAAGAAAAUAUCGAGAGAUCAGAGAGUUAAGGCCGAGAAGGUGAGGUGAGAGUUAAGAUUUGC
This 768-nucleotide long non-coding RNA is filed under the name Ricinus communis (castor bean). Its description in RNAcentral is "long non-coding RNA (RCOM_LNC000638)". Lineage: Eukaryota; Viridiplantae; Streptophyta; Magnoliopsida; Malpighiales; Euphorbiaceae. The record is from RNAcentral.